GACGAACGCUGGCGGCGUGCUUAACACAUGCAAGUCGAACGGAAAGGCCCUGCUUUUGUGGGGUGCUCGAGUUGCGAACGGGUGAGUAACACGUGAGUAACCUGCCCUUGACUUUGGGAUAACUUCAGGAAACUGGGGCUAAUACCGGCUAGGAGCUCCUGCUGCAUGGUGGGGGUUGGUAAGUUUCGGCGGUUGGUGAUGGACUGGCGGCUUAUCAGCUUGUUGGAGGGGUAGUGUCUUAGCAAGGCUUGGACGGGUAGCCGGCCUGAGAGGGUCACCGGCCACAUUGGGACUGAGAUGCGGCCCAGACUCCUACGGGAGGCAGCAGUGGGGAAUAUUGCACAAUGGGCGGAAGCCUGAUGCAGCAACGCCGCGUGCGGGAUGACGGCCUUCGGGUUGUAAACCGCUUUCGCCUGUGACGAAGCGUGAGUGACGGUAAUGGGUAAAGAAGCACCGGCUAACUACGUG
RNAcentral lists this ribosomal RNA (468 nucleotides) under uncultured bacterium. RNAcentral's name for it is "partial 16S ribosomal RNA". It matches the Rfam family "Bacterial small subunit ribosomal RNA", at positions 28 to 507 of the family's 1533-position model. The record is from RNAcentral.